CUCAAAUGAAUUGACGGGGGCCCGCACAAGCGGUGGAGCAUGUGGUUUAAUUCGAUGCAACGCGAAGAACCUUACCUACUCUUGACAUCCAGAGAACUUUCCAGAGAUGGAUUGGUGCCUUCGGGAACUCUGAGACAGGUGCUGCAUGGCUGUCGUCAGCUCGUGUUGUGAAAUGUUGGGUUAAGUCCCGCAACGAGCGCAACCCUUAUC
RNAcentral lists this ribosomal RNA (210 nucleotides) under Enterobacter hormaechei. Its description in RNAcentral is "partial 16S ribosomal RNA". It matches the Rfam family "Bacterial small subunit ribosomal RNA", at positions 900 to 1109 of the family's 1533-position model. The record is from RNAcentral. RNAcentral also lists the same sequence under 2 other names. Lineage: Bacteria; Pseudomonadati; Pseudomonadota; Gammaproteobacteria; Enterobacterales; Enterobacteriaceae.